UACAGAGGUCUCAAGCGUUGUUCGGAUUCAUUGGGCGUAAAGGGUGCGUAGGCGGCGCGGUAAGUCGGGUGUGAAAUCUUGGAGCUUAACUCCGAAACUGCAUUCGAUACUGCCGUGCUUGAGGACUGGAGAGGAGACUGGAAUUUACGGUGUAGCGGUGAAAUGCGUAGAUAUCGAGAGGAAGACCAGUGGCGAAGGCGGAUCUCUGGACAGCUCCUGACGCUGAGGCGCGAAGGCUAGGGGAGCAAACGGG
This 253-nucleotide ribosomal RNA is filed under the name uncultured bacterium. Its description in RNAcentral is "partial 16S ribosomal RNA". It matches the Rfam family "Bacterial small subunit ribosomal RNA", at positions 524 to 776 of the family's 1533-position model. The record is from RNAcentral.